GUCCCUGUAGCGCAAUGGAUAGUGCGCGUUGAAGUUCUAAUACAAAGGUUGUGGGUUUUGAAUCCCAAAUGGGAUA
Molecule: non-coding RNA, 76 nt
Organism: Trichonephila inaurata madagascariensis
Lineage: Eukaryota; Metazoa; Arthropoda; Arachnida; Araneae; Nephilidae
Source: the annotation of a GenBank genome assembly